CGGGACGGGUGAGUAACGCGUGGGUAACCUGCCUCAUACAGGGGGAUAACAGUUAGAAAUGACUGCUAAUACCGCAUAAGCGCACAAAACCGCAUGGUUUGGUGUGAAAAACUGAGGUGGUAUGAGAUGGACCUGCGUCUGAUUAGCUAGUUGGAGAGGUAACGGCUCACCAAGGCAACGAUCAGUAGCCGACCUGAGAGGGUGACCGGCCACAUUGGGACUGAGACACGGCCCAAACUCCUACGGAAGGCAGCAG
Molecule: ribosomal RNA, 256 nt
Filed under: uncultured bacterium
Lineage: Bacteria
Description: partial 16S ribosomal RNA
Rfam family: Bacterial small subunit ribosomal RNA
Source: RNAcentral